RNAcentral lists this ribosomal RNA (1755 nucleotides) under Dictyocoela berillonum. RNAcentral describes it as "bacterial LSU rRNA". The record is from RNAcentral. Lineage: Eukaryota; Fungi; Microsporidia.
AGAUAAGGUAUAAGCUAGUGAGAUGAAUAAGUGAUAGCCAGAGAUACAGUAUAAAUCGGAAUCUACCUGUGAUGGUGGAUAAGUAACACGUAAUGGCUCGUGUUGAUGAGGGAAAAAUUUAAAUCGCGAUGCUCCGAUAUUGAGAGAUGCCGUUGUGAAAGGUAACAAAAGUGCAGUUAUAUGAUCUGUAGAGUUAUUAAUAAAUAAUAACUAAUGUGAACCCGAUAAGAGACAAGUAAGCGGUGAUUAUUCUCUUAGGAUCAAUCAAAGAAAAGGAAGGAAAUGAGUAUACGAAUUAAGUUUCCUCAUGGGCUUGUAGUGACAAGUUAAGUCAGUGUAUCUUGUUAAUAAUGUUAGUAAGAUGUAAUAGUCUAUGACGAGGCUGGAAGUAGCGUGUAUCUUGGUUUGCUAGGGAACGCGUCCCUUUAAUUUUUGUUUGUAUGGAAAAAUAAUAUAGACAUACUAGGUUGAUGUCCAAGAGGAUGUCAACGGAACAAUGCUGAAAAUAGUGUAGAUCUUGAUACGCGAGUGAGCGAACAACGAGCAAGCGUGUGUUAAGGUAGAAGCUAUUGCUGCCCGCCACACAUGUUCCAUGUCCCUGUAUAAGUAGCAUAGAAUUACUCGGAUGCUAAUGAUCGUUAAGGAGCAAGAACCCGGAGAAUGUUUCGGGUCAGGGAGAGCUAGUAGAAAUUUUAGAUUGAAGAUGAAUAUUACUGGUGACAUCACGCGCACGUCGGGUCCGGUAGAUUCCCGUAGUGACUGGACGAGAACAGAGAAGGAAGGACAUAGAAUUUUUAUGGACAGGUAUUGACGUCUCCAGAGUGAUGAACGGCCUUAAUUGGGAUUCCAGUGGGGUUGACAGCUAUCGUCGGUACGUGGUGAGAGAUUGGAUAGCGCAUGAUGCGAGCAUACUAAUAGCCCGGACCAUUCGACAGGGCGCAACUCAGUUUAAUUCGGCGUGUGAGGUGAGGAACACCACAAGGAGGCAGUUAAAGGAAAUUUAAAUAGCGAACGCGCGCAUGAGAGGGGUUUCGGAAUGAACUAAAGAGAAGGCGUUAUGUCUUAUGGUAUGGUGCCGCAGCCGUAUCAAAUGACGAUCUUGAUGAGGCCAGAGAUUAGCAAAAGCUUUGAGAUCGGAUGCAGGAACUAGUAGCCUAAGCGGGAACUGAUCACGGAAGCGGAAACAGUGAGGACUUACCCAGUAGUUUAAAGUGGAGAGCGGUAAGUUAUGAGAUCGGGAGCCAGCGAGGAUUAAGAGACGAAAGGAUCGGGACGAGCAGAGAAUUAGUCAGUGUAACGUCCGUUCAGUCAGUCGAACUGAUGCCUGAAAAAUUAGCGUCGUUAGUAGUAUCUGUGGGGACCUCGACCUUAAUGGCGCCUACGACCGUGGUCUGAACUGGAGGUCAAUAAUCACGCAAGAAAUGUGUGUGAAGCAUUAUGUGCAGAGGAGUGAUAGCGGGGAUGCGCCCGAAGCUAUUAAAAGCGCGGACGACGACUGGAACCAGGACCAUCGGCAGAGAGUCCGAGGGAGAGGCCUUAGUUUGGGAGUAAGGGGCAUGGGCAGAAGCAGAUUCAUCCGGGAAUGGGAUGAAUGAUUGACUAUCCUACCGUCGAAUGAGAGGACGUGGUUUACCAAAUGCGGUGCUAAUUUUUUGGCGUUGAAUCUGCAAAAGGGUGGUCAAAGGGCCACAACAGGCAGGGUCCUCUUGUUUAUUGAGCGGGCAAUGACUCGGAAAGUGACGAGGCGAGGUGCGA